Molecule: ribosomal RNA, 301 nt
Filed under: uncultured bacterium
Lineage: Bacteria
Description: partial 16S ribosomal RNA
Rfam family: Bacterial small subunit ribosomal RNA
Source: RNAcentral
CAGCAGCCGCGGGAAUACGGAGGGUGCAAGCGUUAUCCGGAUUUAUUGGGUUUAAAGGGUCCGUAGGCGGAUCUGUAAGUCAGUGGUGAAAUCUCACAGCUUAACUGUGAAACUGCCAUUGAUACUGCAGGUCUUGAGUAAAUUUGAAGUGGCUGGAAUAAGUAGUGUAGCGGUGAAAUGCAUAGAUAUUACUUAGAACACCAAUUGCGAAGGCAGGUCACUAAGAUUUAACUGACGCUGAUGGACGAAAGCGUGGGGAGCGAACAGGAUUAGAUACCCGCGUAUCCCUGUCUCUUAUACC